UUCCAACGUCAUGCGAUAUUCAGAGCCAUUAACUUUGCAAAAUGGCUGCGAGUUCAUUGCAUUACCCACACGCUGUUGAAUCUUCGCCUUGACCUUCAUCAAACUCGAUUCUUAACCCGCAUUCUCUUUGCAUCAUGUUACCUUCCACAUCCAUUGAACCUGCUCAACAUUCAAAUCGCCCACCUCAUUAGCCUCGUCUUGGACAUCAAUGACUCCCUUCCAUUCUUAAGAAGGG
RNAcentral lists this long non-coding RNA (235 nucleotides) under Arabidopsis lyrata. Its description in RNAcentral is "long non-coding RNA (ALYR_LNC000018)". Lineage: Eukaryota; Viridiplantae; Streptophyta; Magnoliopsida; Brassicales; Brassicaceae. The record is from RNAcentral.